RNAcentral lists this ribosomal RNA (408 nucleotides) under uncultured bacterium. RNAcentral describes it as "partial 16S ribosomal RNA". It matches the Rfam family "Bacterial small subunit ribosomal RNA", at positions 28 to 526 of the family's 1533-position model. The record is from RNAcentral.
GACGAACGCUGGCGGCGUGCUUAACACAUGCAAGUCGAACGAAGUGGCGAACGGGUGAGUAACGCGUAAUCACCCUGCCCUUCAGAGGGGGACAACAGUUGGAAACGACUGCUAAUACCGCAUACUGAAGGCGGGGAUUGCGUCGGAUUAGCUAGUUGGGGGGGUAACGGCCAACCAAGGCGAUGAUCAGUAGGCGGGCUGGGAGGAUGGACGGCCACAUUGGGACCGGGACACGGGCCAGACUCCUACGGGAGGCAGCAGUGGGGAAUCUUCCGGAAUGGACGGAAGGCUGACGGAGCAACGGCGGGGGAGGGAUGACGGGCUUCGGGUUGUAAAGCUCUGUUAGUCGGGACGCGGUACCGGAAUAGAAAGCCACGGCUAACUACGUGCCAGCAGCCGCGGUAAUUC